UUAUUCGCACCCCUGGUCGUCCUCAUAACCGCAUCAGGUCUCCAAGGUUAGCAGCCUCUAGUCGAUAGAACAAUGUAGAUAAGGGAAGUCGGCAAAAUAGAUCUGUAACUUAGGGAAAAAGAUUGGCUCUGAGGGUUGGGCCUAGGGGUCUCUGGGACAAUGUUGCGACUGCUAGGAGGGACUGCGGCUCACGCUGCGGACCCACCGGGCGGUUCUUCGGCGGCCCAGAGGAUGCUUGCCUCGUGCAUGCUUUCCCUAGCGCGAUGAACAACCGGCUCAGAACUGGAGCGGACAAGGGAAAUCCGACUGUUUAAUUAAAACAAAGCAUUGUGAAGGCGGGGGACCGUGUUGACACAAUGUGAUUUCUGCCCAGUGCUCUGAAUGUCAAA
Molecule: ribosomal RNA, 389 nt
Filed under: uncultured eukaryote
Lineage: Eukaryota
Description: partial Eukaryotic large subunit ribosomal RNA
Rfam family: Eukaryotic large subunit ribosomal RNA
Source: RNAcentral